UGCCAGCCGCCGCGGUAAUACGGAGGGGGUUAGCGUUGUUCGGAAUUACUGGGCGUAAAGCGCACGUAGGCGGAUUGGAAAGUUGGGGGUGAAAUCCCGGGGCUCAACCCCGGAACUGCCUUUAAAACUGUUAGUCUUGAGAUCGAGAGAGGUGAGUGGAAUUCCAAGUGUAGAGGUGAAAUUCGUAGAUAUUUGGAGGAACACCAGUGGCGAAGGCGGCUCACUGGCUCGAUACUGACGCUGAGGUACGAAAGCUAAGGUAGCAAACGGGAUUAGAUA
Molecule: ribosomal RNA, 279 nt
Filed under: uncultured bacterium
Lineage: Bacteria
Description: partial 16S ribosomal RNA
Rfam family: Bacterial small subunit ribosomal RNA
Source: RNAcentral